AUGAAGCUGGAAUCGCUAGUAAUCGUAGAUCAGCAUGCUACGGUGAAUACGUUCCCGGGUCUUGUACACACCGCCCGUCACACCACGAGAGUUUGUAACACCCGAAGCCGGUGGAGUAACCUUUUAGGAGCUAGCCGUCGAAGGUGGGACAAAUGAUUGGGGUGAAGUCGUAACAAGGUAGCCGUAUCGGAAGGUGCGGCUGGAUCACCUCCUUU
RNAcentral lists this ribosomal RNA (215 nucleotides) under Staphylococcus aureus. RNAcentral describes it as "partial 16S ribosomal RNA". It matches the Rfam family "Bacterial small subunit ribosomal RNA", at positions 1320 to 1533 of the family's 1533-position model. Lineage: Bacteria; Bacillati; Bacillota; Bacilli; Caryophanales; Staphylococcaceae. The record is from RNAcentral.